GUCAAAUACUUUGGCAGCUGAUUGAUGUUUGCAAAUAUUUGCUUGUUGUGUGCAAGUGAACUGUCUGGUUCGGAUUCGAGUUGUUUUGGUGGGCAUUUAAUUGUCGCUAGCCGUUUCGACAUUGUCAUUUACAUAACGUGUUGCGGGAAAAGUCUGUAGACGUCCAGCUAGAUCAGCCAGUGAAGUGAUUCCAUCAAACCAGACUAGAAAGACAACAUAAAGAUGGCACAACGGGCACCUAAUAAAAACCUUGUCGGCAGAUUGGUGAACAGCCUUAAGAGCAAGGAGUUUCGUGAUUAUUUAAUGAGCACACAUUUUUGGGGGCCAGUGGCUAANUC
Rhagoletis zephyria (snowberry fruit fly) is the source of this 338-nucleotide long non-coding RNA. RefSeq lists it as uncharacterized. NCBI's taxonomy places the organism in Eukaryota, Metazoa, Arthropoda, Insecta, Diptera, Tephritidae. The record is from RefSeq and is a predicted model, not a curated record.